UACAGAGGCCCCAAGCGUUACUGAGAAUCACUGGGUUUAAAGCGUGCGCAGGCGGUUCGCUAAGACCGAUGUGAAAUCCCCGGGCUUAACCUGGGAACUGCAUUGGUGACUGGCGGGCUAGAGUAUGGCAGAGGGGGGUAGAAUUCCACGUGUAGCAGUGAAAUGCGUAGAGAUGUGGAGGAAUACCGAUGGCGAAGGCAGCCCCCUGGGCCAAUACUGACGCUCAUGCACGAAAGCGUGGGGAGCAAACAGG
This 253-nucleotide ribosomal RNA is filed under the name uncultured bacterium. Its description in RNAcentral is "partial 16S ribosomal RNA". It matches the Rfam family "Bacterial small subunit ribosomal RNA", at positions 524 to 776 of the family's 1533-position model. The record is from RNAcentral.